This 425-nucleotide ribosomal RNA is filed under the name uncultured cyanobacterium. RNAcentral describes it as "bacterial SSU rRNA". It matches the Rfam family "Bacterial small subunit ribosomal RNA", at positions 355 to 795 of the family's 1533-position model. Lineage: Bacteria; Bacillati; Cyanobacteriota. The record is from RNAcentral.
UGGGGAAUUUUCCGCAAUGGGCGAAAGCCUGACGGAGCAAGACCGCGUGGGGGAGGAAGGUUUUUGGAUCGUAAACCCCUUUUGUCAAGGAAGAAGCUCUGACGGUACUUGACGAAUAAGCCUCGGCUAACUCCGUGCCAGCAGCCGCGGUAAUACGGAGGAGGCAAGCGUUAUCCGGAAUGAUUGGGCGUAAAGCGUCUGUAGGUGGCCAGCUAAGUCUGCUGUUAAAGAUCACAGCUCAACUGUGGGAAGGCAGUGGAAACUGGCAAGCUAGAGGUUGGUAGGGGUAAAGGGAAUUCCCGGUGUAGCGGUGAAAUGCGUAGAUAUCGGGAAGAACACCGGUGGCGAAAGCGCUUUACUGGGCCAGACCUGACACUGAAGGACGAAAGCUAGGGGAGCGAAAGGGAUUAGAUACCCCUGUAGUC